UUUUUUGAGAGUUUGAUCCUGGCUCAGGAUGAAUGCUGGCGGCGUGCCUAACACAUGCAAGUCAAACGGCCCUUCGGGGCAGUGGCAAACGGGUGAGUAACGCGUUGGUAUCUACCUUUAUCUUCGGUAUAACUCUUCGAAAGGAGAGCUAAUCCCGGAUAAUCUUUUCGGAGCAAAGCUUCGGCGGAUAAAGAGGAACCUGCGUCCUAUCAGCUUGUUGGUAAGGUAAUGGCUUACCAAGGCUAAGACGGGUAGCUGGUCUGAGAGGAUGAUCAGCCACAAUGGGACUGAGACACGGCCCAUACUCCUACGGGAGGCAGCAGUGAGGAAUUUUGCGCAAUGGACGAAAGUCUGACGCAGCAACGCCGCGUGAAGGAUGAAGGCCUUCGGGUCGUAAACUUCUUUUAGUAGGGACGAAGUCUGACGGUACCUACUGAAUAAGCUCCGGCUAACUACGUGCCAGCAGCCGCGGUAAUACGUAGGGAGCAAGCAUUGUCCGGAUUUACUGGGCGUAAAGAGUCUGUAGGUGGUUUAUUAAGUUGAAUAUUAAAGACUCCGACUCAAUCGGAGGAAAGUAUCCAAAACUGAUAAACUAGAGGCAAAGAGAGGCAAGUGGAACUUGUGGUGUAGGGGUAAAAUCCGUAGAUAUCACAGGGAACGCCAAUGGUGAAGACAGCUUGCUAGUUUUGUCCUAACACUGAGAGACGAAAGCGUGGGUAGCGAACGGGAUUAGAUACCCCGGUAGUCCACGCCGUAAACGAUGGGUACUAGACAUCGACCGUAUCGACCCGGUCCGUGUCGAAGCUAACGCGUUAAGUACCCCGCCUGGGGAGUACGGUCGCAAGACUAAAACUCAAAGGAAUUGACGGGGGCUCGCACAAGCGGUGGAGCAUGUGGUUUAAUUCGACGGUACGCGAGGAACCUUACCGAGGCUUGACAUCUAAGGAAUCUCCUGGAAACAGGAGAGUGCCUUCGGGAGCCUUAAGACAGGUGCUGCAUGGCUGUCGUCAGCUCGUGUCGUGAGAUGUUGGGUUAAGUCCCCUAACGAGCGCAACCCUUAUUGUAUGUUGAAUUUUCGUACAAUACUGCCCUAGUGAUAGGGAGGAAGGUGGGGAUGACGUCUAGUCAGCAUGGCCCUUAUGCCUCGGGCGACACACAUGCUACAAUGGUUAGUAUAAUGGGUCGCGAAGCAGCAAUGCGGAGCUAAUCCUUUAAAACUAAUCUCAGUUCGGAUUGAAGGCUGCAACUCGCCUUCAUGAAGUUGGAAUCGCUAGUAACCGCAAAUCAGCCACGUUGCGGUGAAUACGUUCUCGGGCCUUGUACACACCGCCCGUCACACCACGAAAGUUGGUAGUACCUGAAGUUCCAUUUUGGGCCCACGGUAAGACCAGUAAUUGGGGUGAAGUCGUAACAAGGUAUCCGUAGGGGAAUCUGCGGAUGGAAUACCUCCUUUCUAA
Molecule: ribosomal RNA, 1457 nt
Filed under: bacterium CG_4_10_14_0_2_um_filter_33_32
Lineage: Bacteria
Also listed under: 5 other names
Description: bacterial SSU rRNA
Rfam family: Bacterial small subunit ribosomal RNA
Source: RNAcentral